This 530-nucleotide ribosomal RNA is filed under the name Bacillus paramycoides. RNAcentral's name for it is "bacterial SSU rRNA". It matches the Rfam family "Bacterial small subunit ribosomal RNA", at positions 772 to 1302 of the family's 1533-position model. Lineage: Bacteria; Bacillati; Bacillota; Bacilli; Caryophanales; Bacillaceae. The record is from RNAcentral.
ACAGGAUUAGAUACCCUGGUAGUCCACGCCGUAAACGAUGAGUGCUAAGUGUUAGAGGGUUUCCGCCCUUUAGUGCUGAAGUUAACGCAUUAAGCACUCCGCCUGGGGAGUACGGCCGCAAGGCUGAAACUCAAAGGAAUUGACGGGGGCCCGCACAAGCGGUGGAGCAUGUGGUUUAAUUCGAAGCAACGCGAAGAACCUUACCAGGUCUUGACAUCCUCUGACAACCCUAGAGAUAGGGCUUCUCCUUCGGGAGCAGAGUGACAGGUGGUGCAUGGUUGUCGUCAGCUCGUGUCGUGAGAUGUUGGGUUAAGUCCCGCAACGAGCGCAACCCUUGAUCUUAGUUGCCAUCAUUAAGUUGGGCACUCUAAGGUGACUGCCGGUGACAAACCGGAGGAAGGUGGGGAUGACGUCAAAUCAUCAUGCCCCUUAUGACCUGGGCUACACACGUGCUACAAUGGACGGUACAAAGAGCUGCAAGACCGCGAGGUGGAGCUAAUCUCAUAAAACCGUUCUCAGUUCGGAUUGUA